ACAUGCAAGUCGAGCGGGGAGCAAUCCCAGCGGCGAACGGGUGCGUAACGCGUAGGUAAUGUACCUCUUGGUGGGGAAUAACCUUGGGAAACCAGGGCUAAUACCGCAUACGGUCCUUCGGGAUGAAAGCAGCAAUGCGCCGAGAGAGCAGCCUGCGUCCCAUUAUUUAUUCCUAGUUGGUGAGGUAACGGCUCACCAAGGGUACGAUGGGUAGCUGGUCUGAGAGGAUGAUCAGCCACACUGGAACUGAGACACGGUCCAGACUCC
This 267-nucleotide ribosomal RNA is filed under the name uncultured bacterium. RNAcentral describes it as "partial 16S ribosomal RNA". It matches the Rfam family "Bacterial small subunit ribosomal RNA", at positions 53 to 339 of the family's 1533-position model. The record is from RNAcentral.